AAACUACAAAAUUGAACACAACUUUUCUCUUUCUUUCGAAAUAUUUUUCUUUAUCAAUUACCAAUAACAAGUUGAUUUUUUUAACAAAAGUUGCAGUAGAAUAGGUUGAAAGAUGUUACGAGACAUUUUUUCGAACACUUUAUUUUUGGAAUCACUUUUCGUUGAAACAUUACGUGUGGAGAGAAAUAAAAACAAUAUAAGUUUAAUAGUUUUGAAA
This 217-nucleotide unclassified non-coding RNA is filed under the name Melitaea cinxia (Glanville fritillary). Its description in RNAcentral is "misc RNA ENSMCXG00005001704.1". The record is from RNAcentral. Lineage: Eukaryota; Metazoa; Arthropoda; Insecta; Lepidoptera; Nymphalidae.